UCCAGUCUAGUGGUAUGAUUCCUGCUUUGGGCUUAGCGUACCUAUUCUGCAGGAGGCCCCGGGUUCGAAUCCCGGUCAGGCC
This is a non-coding RNA of Pyrenochaeta sp. DS3sAY3a, 82 nucleotides long. Lineage: Eukaryota; Fungi; Ascomycota; Dothideomycetes; Pleosporales; Cucurbitariaceae. The record is from the annotation of a GenBank genome assembly.